This 730-nucleotide unclassified non-coding RNA is filed under the name Hevea brasiliensis (rubber tree). Lineage: Eukaryota; Viridiplantae; Streptophyta; Magnoliopsida; Malpighiales; Euphorbiaceae. The record is from RNAcentral.
UUGCAUGCUGUGUUUUGAAAGGAAAGAUACUUGUUGCAGGUGGUUUCACCAGCUGCCGAAAAUCAAUAUCUCAAGCAGAAAUGUAUGAUCCAGAGAAAGAUGUGUGGAUCCCAAUACCAGAUCUCCAUCGCAGUCACAAUUCAGCAUGCUCUGGACUAGUUAUUGGGGGAAAGGUGCACAUCUUGCACAAGGGCUUAUCGACAGUGCAAGUAUUGGACAAUGCAGGGUCUGGAUGGAUGGUUGAGGAUUACGGUUGGCUCCAAGGUCCAAUGGCAGUUGUUCAUGGGGCCUUGUAUGUGAUGAGCCAUGGACUAAUUUGCAAGCAGGAAGGAAAAAGAAGGAAAGUAGUGGUUUCAGCAUCUGAGUUCCGGAGAAGGAUUGGAUUUGCAAUGACUGGGCUGGGAGAUGACAUAUAUGUGAUUGGAGGGGUGAUAGGUCCUGAUCGAUGGAAUUGGUAUAUCAAGCCAAUGUCUGAUGUUGAUAUCUUGACAGUUGGGGGUGAGAGACCGACUUGGCGACAGGCUGCUCCUAUGACACGGUGCCGUGGUGCAAUUCUUGGAUGUACGCAGCUGCGAAUAUAGGUCUGAAGAUGUUAUGUUUUGUGGUGAAAGUUAUGUUCUUGUCAAGGCAUUAAUUUCCCUCCUAUUUGGAGACGAGGAAUGUAACUUUUUCUCUUUGGCUUUUGAGUCGUCAUCCUUGCCUUCGACUUCUGUCAAAGUGGUCAAUGUUA